GGCUCAGGAUGAACGCUAGCGGCAGGCUUAACACAUGCAAGUCGAGGGGCAACGCGAGUAGCAAUACUUGGCGGCGACCGGCGCAAGGGUGCGUAACGCGUGAGCAACAUGCCCGUAUCAGGGGGAUAAUCCAGGGAAACUUGGUCUAAUACCCCAUAGUAAUUUUGUAAGGCAUCUUAUAAGAUUUAAAGCUUUGGUGGAUACGGAUUGGCUCGCGUGACAUUAGCUGGAUGGUAAGGUAACGGCUUACCAUGGCUAUGAUGUCUAGGGGUUCUGAGAGGAAGGUCCCCCCACACUGGAACUGAGACACGGCCCAGACUCCUACGGGAGGCAGCAGUGAGGAAUAUUGGACAAUGGAUGGAAAUCUGAUCCAGCCAUGCCGCGUGAAGGAAGAAAGGUCCUAUGGAUUGUAAACUUCUUUUGUAUGGGAGCAAUAAGGCCUACGAGUAGGCUGAUGAGAGUACCAUACGAAUAAGCACCGGCUAACUCCGUGCCAGCCGCAGC
Molecule: ribosomal RNA, 504 nt
Filed under: uncultured bacterium
Lineage: Bacteria
Description: bacterial SSU rRNA
Rfam family: Bacterial small subunit ribosomal RNA
Source: RNAcentral